AAAUAUAACAAAUUAUUUUGGACUUGGGUCUCCCUCAUUCCAAGCCCAUUACCCACGAAAUUAGUCUAUAAAUACUGAAGUUUCAGUAGGGGGAGUGAGACUUGGAGUUUACACUGGGAGAUUCACUGGAGAAAGAGGAAGAGAAGCAAAACACUCUGAGGUUUCCUUGGAACAAAACCUUGAGGAAAAAGAAAGAAAGAGAACAGAGAAGGACGGAUAGAAACUUUGGCAUAGGAACCCUGCCUACCCGGAGAAUUCAGAGUAAAGAAACCCUGAAGGCAACCCAUCUGCACCGAAGCCAUCGCCGUCCAAUUCCCGCUGCCUAACUUAUUCCGAACUACAAAUGGUCAAUCCCUUCAACCUUGAAUUGGCAAACAGGUUUUGCGUAUCUCUAUUGUUUAUACUUUCAAUUGGCCAUAUCUACAUAUAUAAUGCAUCAUGAUUAAAUGUUGAUAUAUAAUUUGCUUUCGUAUGGGAAUUUAAAUAUGCCUGAAUAUCCUGAAUGUUUGAUCAUGUUAUUCCUGUGAUAAAAUGCCAUAAAAUUCAAAG
This 549-nucleotide long non-coding RNA is filed under the name Lathyrus oleraceus (garden pea). Its description in RNAcentral is "Pisum sativum (pea) long non-coding RNA (PSAT_LNC022440)". Lineage: Eukaryota; Viridiplantae; Streptophyta; Magnoliopsida; Fabales; Fabaceae. The record is from RNAcentral.